This 398-nucleotide ribosomal RNA is filed under the name uncultured bacterium. Its description in RNAcentral is "partial 16S ribosomal RNA". It matches the Rfam family "Bacterial small subunit ribosomal RNA", at positions 360 to 776 of the family's 1533-position model. The record is from RNAcentral.
AAUAUUACACAAUGGAGGAAACUCUGAUGCAGCGACGCCGCGUGAACGGUGAAGGCCUUCGGGUCGUAACGUUCUGUCCUAGGGGACGAUAAUGAGGGUUACUUAGGAGCAAUCCCCGGCUACCGACGUGCCAGCAGCCGCGGUAAUACGUAGGGGGCACGCGUUAUCCGGAAUCAUUGGGCGUAAAGGGUGCGUGGGCGGCCCUAGAGGUCAGAGGUCAAAGGCUACGGCUCAACCGUAGUAAGCCUUUGAAACUGUAGGGCUUGAGUACAGGAGAGGAGGGUGGAAUUCCUAGUGUAGCGGUGAAAUGCGUAGAUAUUAGGAGGAACACCAGUGGCGAAGGCGACUCUCUGGACUGCAACUGACGCUGAGGCACGAAAGCGUGGGGAGCAAACAGG